RNAcentral lists this ribosomal RNA (185 nucleotides) under Pseudomonas sp. URMO17WK12:I1. The record is from RNAcentral. Lineage: Bacteria; Pseudomonadati; Pseudomonadota; Gammaproteobacteria; Pseudomonadales; Pseudomonadaceae.
CGUAAUACCAACUGAUACCACAUACCCAAUUCGCUGCAGCGGCUAAACCCCGAAGCAGCAACCAGUUUGCUUGACGACCAUAGAGCGUUGGAACCACCUGAUCCCAUCCCGAACUCAGUAGUGAAACGACGCAUCGCCGAUGGUAGUGUGGAGCUUCUCCAUGUGAGAGUAGGUCAUCGUCAAGC